This is a long non-coding RNA of Bufo bufo (common toad), 152 nucleotides long. RefSeq lists it as uncharacterized. The transcript is spliced from 3 exons. NCBI's taxonomy places the organism in Eukaryota, Metazoa, Chordata, Amphibia, Anura, Bufonidae. The record is from RefSeq and is a predicted model, not a curated record.
UAUUACACCAACAGAUUAUCUAACAGCUUUCCUGACCAAUCAUUGGUCAGAUGGCCAAUUACACACUCAGAUCUUUUGUUAUACACAGCAACUAUUGGUCCGAUUGGACAGAUAUUGAUCAGAUAAUCUGCUGGUACAUUACAAACAGCCCU